RNAcentral lists this ribosomal RNA (250 nucleotides) under uncultured prokaryote. RNAcentral's name for it is "partial 16S ribosomal RNA". It matches the Rfam family "Bacterial small subunit ribosomal RNA", at positions 524 to 774 of the family's 1533-position model. The record is from RNAcentral.
UACGUAGGGGACGAGCGUUGUCCGGAAUUACUGGGCGUAAAGGGCGCGCAGGCUGUAGAUCAAGUCAGCUGUGAAAUGUCUGGGCUUAACCCGGGCAUGCGGUUGAAACUGAUGUACUGGAGUGCUGUAGAGGCAAGUGGAAUUCCCAGUGUAGCGGUGAAAUGCGUAGAUAUUACACAGAACACCGAUUGCGAAGGCAGCUUACUAAUCCAUCAUUGACGCUGAGGCACGAAAGCGUGGGGAUCAAACA